This 762-nucleotide ribosomal RNA is filed under the name Nocardioides scoriae. RNAcentral describes it as "bacterial SSU rRNA". It matches the Rfam family "Bacterial small subunit ribosomal RNA", at positions 93 to 866 of the family's 1533-position model. The record is from RNAcentral. Lineage: Bacteria; Bacillati; Actinomycetota; Actinomycetes; Propionibacteriales; Nocardioidaceae.
GAGCGGCGAACGGGUGAGUAACACGUGAGCAAUCUGCCCUGCACUUUGGGAUAACCGCCGGAAACGGUGGCUAAUACCGGAUAUGACUGCGUCUCGCAUGGGGUGUGGUGGAAAGUUCUGGCGGUGCAGGAUGAGCUCGCGGCCUAUCAGCUUGUUGGUGGGGUAAUGGCUCACCAAGGCUUCGACGGGUAGCCGGCCUGAGAGGGUGACCGGCCACACUGGGACUGAGACACGGCCCAGACUCCUACGGGAGGCAGCAGUGGGGAAUAUUGGACAAUGGGCGAAAGCCUGAUCCAGCAACGCCGCGUGAGGGAUGACGGCCUUCGGGUUGUAAACCUCUUUCAGCGCAGACGAAGCGAAAGUGACGGUAUGCGCAGAAGAAGCACCGGCCAACUACGUGCCAGCAGCCGCGGUAAUACGUAGGGUGCGAGCGUUGUCCGGAAUUAUUGGGCGUAAAGGGCUCGUAGGCGGUUUGUUGCGUCGGGAGUGAAAACUCAGGGCUUAACCCUGAGCCUGCUUCCGAUACGGGCAGACUGGAGGUAUGCAGGGGAGAACGGAAUUCCUGGUGUAGCGGUGAAAUGCGCAGAUAUCAGGAGGAACACCGGUGGCGAAGGCGGUUCUCUGGGCAUUACCUGACGCUGAGGAGCGAAAGUGUGGGGAGCGAACAGGAUUAGAUACCCUGGUAGUCCACACCGUAAACGUUGGGCGGCUAGGUGUGGGACUCAUUCCACGAGUUCCGUGCCGCAGCUAACGCAUUAAGCG